Molecule: ribosomal RNA, 547 nt
Filed under: Fusarium sp.
Lineage: Eukaryota; Fungi; Ascomycota; Sordariomycetes; Hypocreales; Nectriaceae
Description: eukaryotic LSU rRNA
Rfam family: Eukaryotic large subunit ribosomal RNA
Source: RNAcentral
UUGACCUCGAAUCAGGUAGGAAUACCCGCUGAACUUAAGCAUAUCAAUAAGCGGAGGAAAAGAAACCAACAGGGAUUGCCCCAGUAACGGCGAGUGAAGCGGCAACAGCUCAAAUUUGAAAUCUGGCUCUCGGGCCCGAGUUGUAAUUUGUAGAGGAUGCUUUUGGUGAGGUGCCUUCCGAGUUCCCUGGAACGGGACGCCACAGAGGGUGAGAGCCCCGUCUGGUUGGACACCGAGCCUCUGUAAAGCUCCUUCGACGAGUCGAGUAGUUUGGGAAUGCUGCUCUAAAUGGGAGGUAUAUGUCUUCUAAAGCUAAAUACCGGCCAGAGACCGAUAGCGCACAAGUAGAGUGAUCGAAAGAUGAAAAGAACUUUGAAAAGAGAGUUAAACAGUACGUGAAAUUGUUGAAAGGGAAGCGCUUGUGACCAGACUUGGGCUUGGUUGAUCAUCCGGGGUUCUCCCCGGUGCACUCUUCCGGCUCAGGCCAGCAUCAGUUCGCCCUGGGGGACAAAGGCAGCGGGAAUGUGGCUCUCUCCGGGGAGUGUUA